GCCGAAGUGGCGAAAUUGGCAGACGCACUGGAUUCAAAAUCCAGCGCCGCUUUAAACGGCGUGUCGGUUCGAGUCCGACCUUCGGCA
RNAcentral lists this transfer RNA (87 nucleotides) under Candidatus Cloacimonadota bacterium. Its description in RNAcentral is "tRNA-Leu". It matches the Rfam family "tRNA". From Rfam's summary of the family: Transfer RNA (tRNA) molecules are approximately 80 nucleotides in length. Their secondary structure includes four short double-helical elements and three loops (D, anti-codon, and T loops). Lineage: Bacteria; Pseudomonadati; Candidatus Cloacimonadota. The record is from RNAcentral.